RNAcentral lists this ribosomal RNA (492 nucleotides) under uncultured bacterium. Its description in RNAcentral is "partial 16S ribosomal RNA". It matches the Rfam family "Bacterial small subunit ribosomal RNA", at positions 29 to 507 of the family's 1533-position model. The record is from RNAcentral.
AGUGAACGCUGGCGGUAGGCCUAACACAUGCAAGUCGAACGGCAGCACAGUAAGAGCUUGCUCUUACGGGUGGCGAGUGGCGGGCGGGUGAGGAAUACAUCGGAAUCUACUUUUUCGUGGGGGAUAACGUAGGGAAACUUACGCUAAUACCGCAUACGACCUACGGGUGAAAGCAGGGGAUCUUCGGACCUUGCGCGAAUGAAUGAGCCGAUGUCGGAUUAGCUAGUUGGCGGGGUAAAGGCCCACCAAGGCGACGAUCCGUAGCUGGUCUGAGAGGAUGAUCAGCCACACUGGAACUGAGACACGGUCCAGACUCCUACGGGAGGCAGCAGUGGGGAAUAUUGGACAAUGGGCGCAAGCCUGAUCCAGCCAUACCGCGUGGGUGAAGAAGGCCUUCGGGUUGUAAAGCCCUUUUGUUGGGAAAGAAAAGCAGCAGGUUAAUACCCCGCUGUUCUGACGGUACCCAAAGAAUAAGCACCGGCUAACUUCGUG